AUCAAACCGGGAAAUAGCUCGUACUCCCCGAAAUGCUUUUAGGAGCAGCGUGGAGGUAUAGUAUUACGGAGGUAGAGCUACCAAUAGGACUAGGGGGAGUCAAAUCCUACCAAAUCCUGAUGAACUCCGAAUGCCGUUAGAUAUACUCCGCAGUGAGGGCAUGGGUGCUAAGGUCCAUGUCCGAGAGGGAAAGAACCCAGACCAUCAGCUAAGGUCCC
RNAcentral lists this ribosomal RNA (218 nucleotides) under Pseudo-nitzschia fraudulenta. RNAcentral's name for it is "partial Bacterial large subunit ribosomal RNA". It matches the Rfam family "Bacterial large subunit ribosomal RNA", at positions 832 to 1048 of the family's 2925-position model. Lineage: Eukaryota; Bacillariophyta; Bacillariophyceae; Bacillariales; Bacillariaceae. The record is from RNAcentral.